Molecule: long non-coding RNA, 345 nt
Organism: Oncorhynchus tshawytscha (Chinook salmon)
Lineage: Eukaryota; Metazoa; Chordata; Actinopteri; Salmoniformes; Salmonidae
Source: Ensembl
GAGAUGGAGACGGAGAGAGGGAGAGAGGGAGACGGAGACACAGGGAGAGGGAGACAGAGAGAGGGAGACAGAGAGAGGGAGACGGAGACAGAGAGUAAACUAUGGCUGUUCAGGGGAACGUUAUUGUUGGGUGUGUUACUUGCCAUAGCAUUAAAAGUCCAUUUACAAUGGGGUCAAUGAAAAGCUUACUUGACUUAGAGGAAACCAGGGGAGGGGGAGGAAUUCACACUCGUUUCCAAAAAUAAGUUUUGCCCGUUCCUUGGGAUUUGUGUUACACCACUACUGAGAGGGGAGGAGGGGAAAGUUCUGGAGGAUGUGAAUGGAAGGCUUGAGGUUGAAGAGGAG